Long non-coding RNA from Folsomia candida, 2354 nucleotides. RefSeq lists it as uncharacterized. Lineage: Eukaryota; Metazoa; Arthropoda; Collembola; Entomobryomorpha; Isotomidae. The transcript is spliced from 3 exons. The record is from RefSeq and is a predicted model, not a curated record.
GAACCAAAUAAACGCGAGAAUGACCAAUUACUGAAUUCUAUUCAAUAUUUAUUGAAUUUAAAGAGUAUUUUGGUAAAUUCUAAACAAAACGUCAAUGUUCACUUUGAUGUCUUUUUUUUUAGGGAGAAAAUAAAUUAAAAUCACAUAUUAACCAACCAAGUCAAUGGAUGCCCUCACUUCUCAGUCGCCAACAUGCAACAAUGGUUCAGAGACUUUACAGAUCUCUCUUCUCAUUGUUGUUGUUGUAGGUGGUGUGUGGGAUGGAUAUUGUGGAUGAAUGACACUGCGGGAAUAAUAUAUAUGCUGCUACUGGACAAUGGAUAGAAGAGUAAUCAUGUAAUGUUUUCUCUCACUUGAUCGUCUCAGUAAAAAAAGGAAGGAAGAAGAAGACGCAACGCAUCUUCAUGUCGAGGAGAGAUGGUCGUGUACAGAAGAAUGACGGGAAAGAGAGAGAGAGAGAGAGUGAAGUUGUUAGUGAAUGAGUUUCAGUGGCAAGUCUAAGCGGAUGAUGCCCUACUAACGUCGGAUUCGUGUAGCUUUGUUACAUAUUUUAUCCAUGAUUUGGUUCAGUUCUUGGUCUCUCUCUCUCUCUCUAUCCUGGUCUCGUCGUCUUCAUCCAUGGGUCGUCGUGUGGUUUACUUAGUGAGGAAGAAGGAAAAGCAGUGGGAGAGAUGAUUGGUAGUGGUAGUGGUGGCGGCGCAGAUUGGAGUUCAGAGAAAGCAGAGGGAGACAUGGGAACGGAAGUGAAAGCAAGCUGGCCAGGCAGGAGUAGUGAGUGAGUGAGUGAGUGAGUGAGUAGUAGUCGGAGGAAAGAGAACAAGUUUCUCUCAAUGAAUGAACCCCCUCCGCCGUCGGUCGGUGUGAGGAUAGGAUGGGAUCGGAGGAGGGAUGAGGGAGGAGGAGGUGGAGGUGGAGGAAAGAUCGAUAAGAUGAUACAACUCACAUACCACCCCACUUACGGAGGAGUCAUAUUACUGCUGUUAACUACUACCAGUUAUAUCAGCAGCAGCAGUAUCGCAUCAUCGUGAUGCCAUGUACACUCAAAUGGUUCCUACGACGACUCUACUAGAAGAAGAAGCAGAUGGGAACAUCCGGUGAAAAUUCAGAUCCGAAAAAGGAUGAGAAGAGAGGGACGCUUCGUUCACUUUCCGUUCAUUUGUGUGUACAUUCUCCUAAAACAUGAUAGUAUUGAUCUCCUAAUUCUAGGGAUGGAUAGAUGGAUGGAUGAUGAUGAUGCGAUGAUGCUGAUGGGAUGAUUGUGUGCAACAUCAUCCGAUCCUCUUGUUAUUUUACAACAACAGCACAUCACCCGGCUCCAUAGAGGAUAGAUGGACGAGAGAAGAAUAUGAGAGUCAAUGAAAAUGAGAAGAAAUAUGAUUGGAAAAUUUACAUAACAAAUGCAUUUCAAUGUGGGUUUGCAAUUUGGGAAUAAUCCUCGGCCUCCUCUUUUGUCUGGGUUUAUAAUGCUACGUAAAUUCGCUUAGGGAGUUAGGGAGAGGGAAUUGGAUCAUGGACAAAGAAAGCGUCAACAUGAUUCCACAUUUCGCAACCUUUGUUCGAUCAGAGAUAGAGAGAUCAAGAAAUGGAAGUCGAGAUUACGGCUGCUCGUGUCAGAGCAGCAACAGAACUAGGGUGUAGGGCUAUCACGUACAACUGUGUAGGGCACAGAGUGGAUAUUCUGCAGAUCUGUAUAGAAUAUAUGAACAAUAAGAGGCAGGGCAGACUAGAGGGUUGACAGAGACAGAGUGAAAGCUGGGAUUGAUGAUGAGACUGUGUGGGUUGGUGUUGUUUGCAAUAGUCGAUAGUUAUUUGCAAUUUUCCUGAGAGACUAGGCACAUUUUGCAAACUUCACGUGGACUCUAUUCAAGACACGAGCUCAAGUAUGACUAAUCUUAGAUUCUUGAGAAGAAGGGGUUGGAGUUCAUAAUUCUUCAAGGUCAUAUUCUGCUUGAAUAUGUAAGAAGACGAGUAGAAGAACUCAAGUAGAAUGGCAACGGGUACAAAAGUCGAAAUAUUAUUUCUCCAUUUCUCUCUACCUACUACCUACCUACCUUCCUUCCCAAACCUUCAAGAAAUGGCAAAAUUGAGACAAUUAACCUAACUUUCCUUUAACUUUUCUUAUACCAACGCAUCUCAUGGUGUUUAAUUUAAUACUGAAACUGAACUCGAAAUUUCAUUCGAAAAAUGUGUAGCAAAACUAGUUAGUUUUGGCUUUAUUAAAUAUCGUCAAAAUAUGUUUUGUUGUAUUAAAAUCGUGUUUGGCGUAUUAACGUCAAAGGUUAAAACGUAACUCUAGGUUUCUCGGAAUCACAUGGCAAGAUCCAUAUACUUGUGGUGUAAACAUAAUAAUAAUA